UGGGGAAUCUUGGACAAUGGGCGCAAGCCUGAUCCAGCCAUGCCGCGUGGAUGAUGAGGGCCUUAGGGUUGUAAAAUCCUUUCGCCGAGGACGAUAAUGACGGUACUCGGAGAAGAAGCUCCGGCUAACUUCGUGCCAGCAGCCGCGGUAAUACGAAGGGGGCUAGCGUUGUUCGGAUUUACUGGGCGUAAAGCGCGUGUAGGCGGGUCGUUAAGUUGGGGGUGAAAUCCCGAGGCUCAACCUCGGAACUGCCUUCAAAACUGGCGACCUGGACCUAAGUAGAGGCAAGUGGAAUUGCGAGUGUAGAGGUGAAAUUCGUAGAUAUUCGCAGGAACACCAGUGGCGAAGGCGACUUGCUGGACUUAUGGUGACGCUGAGACGCGAAAGCGUGGGGAGCAAACAGGAUUAGAUACCCGGGUAGUCCCUGAGCGGGCUGGCAAGGCGCAU
RNAcentral lists this ribosomal RNA (447 nucleotides) under uncultured bacterium. Its description in RNAcentral is "bacterial SSU rRNA". It matches the Rfam family "Bacterial small subunit ribosomal RNA", at positions 355 to 825 of the family's 1533-position model. The record is from RNAcentral.